RNAcentral lists this ribosomal RNA (1050 nucleotides) under uncultured bacterium. RNAcentral's name for it is "bacterial SSU rRNA". It matches the Rfam family "Bacterial small subunit ribosomal RNA", at positions 335 to 1397 of the family's 1533-position model. The record is from RNAcentral.
ACUCCUACGGGAGGCAGCAGUGGGGAAUAUUGCACAAUGGGCGCAAGCCUGAUGCAGCGACGCCGCGUGGGGGACGAAGGCCUUCGGGUUGUAAACCCCUUUCAGCAGGGAAGAAGCGAAAGUGACGGUACCUGCAGAAGAAGCGCCGGCUAACUACGUGCCAGCAGCCGCGGUAAUACGUAGGGCGCAAGCGUUGUCCGGAAUUAUUGGGCGUAAAGAGCUCGUAGGCGGUUUGUCGCGUCUGCUGUGAAAACCCGAGGCUCAACCUCGGGCCUGCAGUGGGUACGGGCAGACUAGAGUGCGGUAGGGGAGACUGGAAUUCCUGGUGUAGCGGUGGAAUGCGCAGAUAUCAGGAGGAACACCGAUGGCGAAGGCAGGUCUCUGGGCCGCAACUGACGCUGAGGAGCGAAAGCAUGGGGAGCGAACAGGAUUAGAUACCCUGGUAGUCCAUGCCGUAAACGUUGGGCACUAGGUGUGGAGCUCAUUCCACGAGUUCCGUGCCGCAGCAAACGCAUUAAGUGCCCCGCCUGGGGAGUACGGCCGCAAGGCUAAAACUCAAAGGAAUUGACGGGGGCCCGCACAAGCGGCGGAGCAUGCGGAUUAAUUCGAUGCAACGCGAAGAACCUUACCAAGGCUUGACAUAUACCGAAAACUCAUGGAGACAUGGGGUCCGCAAGGGCGGUAUACAGGUGGUGCAUGGUUGUCGUCAGCUCGUGUCGUGAGAUGUUGGGUUAAGUCCCGCAACGAGCGCAACCCUCGUCCUAUGUUGCCAGCACAUCAUGGUGGGGACUCAUAGGAGACUGCCGGGGUCAACUCGGAGGAAGGUGGGGAUGACGUCAAAUCAUCAUGCCCCUUAUGUCUUGGGCUUCACGCAUGCUACAAUGGCCGGUACAAAGGGCUGCGAUACCGCAAGGUGGAGCGAAUCCCAAAAAGCCGGUCUCAGUUCGGAUUGGGGUCUGCAACUCGACCCCAUGAAGUCGGAGUCGCUAGUAAUCGCAGAUCAGCAACGCUGCGGUGAAUACGUUCCCGGGCCUUGUCCCCCCCGCCCGU